Molecule: ribosomal RNA, 559 nt
Filed under: uncultured Pseudomonas sp.
Lineage: Bacteria; Pseudomonadati; Pseudomonadota; Gammaproteobacteria; Pseudomonadales; Pseudomonadaceae
Description: bacterial SSU rRNA
Rfam family: Bacterial small subunit ribosomal RNA
Source: RNAcentral
GCUGGCGGCAGGCCUAACACAUGCAAGUCGAGCGGUAGCGAGAAGCUUGCUUCUCUUGAGAGCGGCGGACGGGUGAGUAAAGCCUAGGAAUCUGCCUGGUAGUGGGGGAUAACGUUCGGAAACGGACGCUAAUACCGCAUACGUCCUACGGGAGAAAGCAGGGGACCUUCGGGCCUUGCGCUAUCAGAUGAGCCUAGGUCGGAUUAGCUAGUUGGUGAGGUAAUGGCUCACCAAGGCGACGAUCCGUAACUGGUCUGAGAGGAUGAUCAGUCACACUGGAACUGAGACACGGUCCAGACUCCUACGGGAGGCAGCAGUGGGGAAUAUUGGACAAUGGGCGAAAGCCUGAUCCAGCCAUGCCGCGUGUGUGAAGAAGGUCUUCGGAUUGUAAAGCACUUUAAGUUGGGAGGAAGGGCAUUAACCUAAUACGUUAGUGUUUUGACGUUACCGACAGAAUAAGCACCGGCUAACUCUGUGCCAGCAGCCGCGGUAAUACAGAGGGUGCAAGCGUUAAUCGGAAUUACUGGGCGUAAAGCGCGCGUAGGUGGUUUGUUAAGUU